ACUGAGGCUCUGGAAGGGUGCUCCGGGCUGCCGUGUUUUGGGCAGCCAUGGAGACUGCUGGAAUUGAGUUUUUUUUUUUUUUUAAAGGAUUUUAUUUAUCCACUCAUGAGAGACACAGAGACAGAGGCAGAGACACAGGCAAAGGGAGAAGCAGGCUCUCCACGGGACUUCCAGGAUCCUUGGGAUCACAACCCGAGCCAAAGGCAGACGCUCAACCACUGAGCCACCCAGGCGCCCCUGGAAUUAUUAUGUCUCCAUUCUGUGUACUUGUGAAGAUAUGUGCCUUGCUUGAGUAUUAUGAAUGUCUUCCAGUGAUGACUUUUUGACAUACUUUUGAAACAGGAUGGCCAGAAAAUUUGCCUGAAAGAUGUUUGAGCCUGUGUCAUUCCAUGGAGCCAGGUAAUAAUUAGAGGAAUUUGGGCUAGUAUUAUUUGAACAAGUCUUUCAGAAAUAAUGAGGAAGGAAUCAAGGUCUUGAUGAGUUGCAUGAGUCAGUUCUAUCUUUUUCAGUUUUGCUUUUAUGACAUCCUACUUUAUUAUCGAUCGAUUGAUUUUUAAAGAUUUUAUUUAUUUGAGAGAGAGGAGGAGAGAGAGAGCAUGAGCACGGUGGAGGGGGCAGACAGAGGGGGAGAAGCAGACUCCCUCCUGAGCAAGGAGCCUGACAUGGGCCUCGAUCCCAGAACCUGAGAUCAUGACCUGAGCUUCAUGAAGGCAGAUGCUUAACUGACUGAGCCACCCAGGCGCCUGACAUCCUAUUUUAAAUAGAUGGCAAAUAUUGAUUUGCAGUCCAAUCAAUAUUUAGGAUUAGAUGUCUUCAUUACAAGUUUAGCUCUGACAGGGCG
Molecule: long non-coding RNA, 841 nt
Filed under: Vulpes vulpes (red fox)
Lineage: Eukaryota; Metazoa; Chordata; Mammalia; Carnivora; Canidae
Description: lncRNA (ENSVVUG00000018999.1)
Source: RNAcentral